AUAACCGAAGCCCCGAUGAAGGGCGGCCGUAACUAUGACGGUCCUAAGGUAGCGAAAUUCCUUGUCGGGUAAGUUCCGACCCGCAUGAAUAGCGUAAUCACAUGGGCUCUGUCUCAACGAAGGACUCGGCGAAACUUAAUUCGAGGUGAAGAUGCCUCGUCCCCGCGGGUAGGCGGAAAGACCCUAUGAACCUUUACUGCAGCAUAUUAUUGGGUUUAGGUAUGCUCUGUGUAGAAUAGGUGGGAGGCUUCGAGGCCGGGGCGCCAGCUCCGGCAGAGCCGUAAGUGAAAUACCACCCUUGCGGCAUCGGAAUUCUAACUGUGUCCCGUGAAUCCGGGCGCAGGACAGUGUGAGGCGGGCAGUUUGACUGGGGCGGUUCCCUCCCAAAGAGUAACGGAGGGGUUCAAAGGUACCCUCAGCACGGUUGGCAAUCGUGCGUCGAGUGCAAAGGCAGAAGGGUGCUUAACUGAAAGACCUACAAGUCGAUCAGGCACGAAAGUGGGACUUAGUGAUCCGGCGGUUGUGUGUGGAAAUGCCGUCGCUCAUCGGAUAAAAGGUACUCCGGGGAUAACAGGCUGAUCGCGCCCAAGCGUCCAUAGCGACGGCGCGGUUUGGCACCUCGAUGUCGGCUCAUCGCAUCCUGGGGCUGGAAAAGGUCCCAAGGGUUUGGCUGUUCGCCAAUUAAUAGCGGUACGUGAGCUGGGUUUAAAACGUCGUGAGACAGUUUGGUCCCUAUCUGCCAUGGGCGUAGGACACUUGAGAGGAGCUAUCCAUAGUACGAGAGGACCUGGAUGGACGGACCCCUGGUGAAUCGGUUGUCGUGCCAACGGCAUAGCCGAGUAGCCACGUCCGGAACGGAUAACCGCUGAAAGCAUCUAAGCGGGAAGCCGGCCUCAAGACAAGGUGUCCCGGCGCAAGCCCUAAAGACCACUCGUAGACUACGAGUUUGAUAGGCCGGGUGUGGAAGCACGGUAACGUGCGGAGCUAACCGGUACUAAUCGGUCGUGAGGCUUGACCUA
RNAcentral lists this ribosomal RNA (1019 nucleotides) under Polyangiaceae bacterium. Its description in RNAcentral is "partial 23S ribosomal RNA". It matches the Rfam family "Bacterial large subunit ribosomal RNA", at positions 1908 to 2925 of the family's 2925-position model. The record is from RNAcentral. Lineage: Bacteria; Pseudomonadati; Myxococcota; Polyangiales; Polyangiaceae.